GGAAGGGUCGCAUAGUGGCUUAGUGCGCUGGUCUUGAAAACCGGUAGGCCUGCAAGGGUCUCGUGAGUUCGAAUCUCACCCCUUCCG
Molecule: transfer RNA, 87 nt
Filed under: Berkelbacteria bacterium GW2011_GWE1_39_12
Lineage: Bacteria; Candidatus Berkelbacteria
Description: tRNA-Ser
Rfam family: tRNA
About the family: Transfer RNA (tRNA) molecules are approximately 80 nucleotides in length. Their secondary structure includes four short double-helical elements and three loops (D, anti-codon, and T loops). Further hydrogen bonds mediate the characteristic L-shaped molecular structure. tRNAs have two regions of fundamental functional importance: the anti-codon, which is responsible for specific mRNA codon recognition, and the 3' end, to which the tRNAs corresponding amino acid is attached (by aminoacyl-tRNA synthetases). tRNAs cope with the degeneracy of the genetic code in two manners: having more than one tRNA (with a specific anti-codon) for a particular amino acid; and 'wobble' base-pairing, i.e. permitting non-standard base-pairing at the 3rd anti-codon position.
Source: RNAcentral